GGGCGAGACCGAAGCGAACAGCGGUUGUGUUUAAAGGCACCUGAAUUGUAUACCGAAGACUGUGCACGGGUGAGGGGAAGGUCAAGCCUGCCGAUAGCCCUCUCCGAGUUCGUGCACCGAGUCGUCGGAAAGGUCGGGCAAAACGUGAGCGAGCAGCGGUGGCCCUGGAAGCGCCAUACAAGUGCCCUUGUCAAGGAAGAUAACCAGCUGUCAGGCUUUGCGGUAAAGGCAGUCGAAGCGGAUCAGCAUGCCCUUGGCAAGACGGAAGCUGACAGCGGCCAGUCCUCCAGGAACAAGAAGCCAGUUGCAGUGGAUCGGCGAGACCGGGCAGGAUGGGAGCGAACAGCGGCAUCACCCAAAAGCAUGAGAUCGUGGAGAGUACCGCCUUCCGUCGACCUUCCGCGAGGGUGAAUACCGUUGCGGGUGGUAGACGCGGUCCGUGCGAGAGCGAAGCGAACAGCGGUUCUGUCUGAAGGCUCCACGAAGA
Molecule: long non-coding RNA, 487 nt
Filed under: Dermacentor andersoni
Lineage: Eukaryota; Metazoa; Arthropoda; Arachnida; Ixodida; Ixodidae
Description: uncharacterized LOC126523585
Source: RNAcentral